This 861-nucleotide ribosomal RNA is filed under the name uncultured bacterium. Its description in RNAcentral is "bacterial SSU rRNA". It matches the Rfam family "Bacterial small subunit ribosomal RNA", at positions 628 to 1502 of the family's 1533-position model. The record is from RNAcentral.
UGAAACUGCCGUGCUGGAGUACGGUCGCCGCCGGAGGAAUGUGCGGUGUAGCGGUGAAAUGCAUAGAUAUCGCACAGAACACCGAUUGCGGAGGCAUCUGGCGAGGCCGUGACUGACGCUGAGGCACGAAAGCGUGGGGAUCGAACAGGAUUAGAUACCCUGGUAGUCCACGCCGUAAACGAUGAUGGCUAUCCGUCGGGGCGUAAGUUCCGGUGGUCAAGCGAAAGCGAUAAGCCAUCCACCUGGGGAGUACGGCCGCAAGGCUGAAACUCAAAGGAAUUGACGGGGGCCCGCACAAGCGGAGGAACAUGUGGUUUAAUUCGAUGAUACGCGAGGAACCUUACCCGGGCUCGAACGGCUCCGGAAUGUCCCAGAGAUGGGGCAGUCUACGGACUGGAGCCGAGGUGCUGCAUGGUUGUCGUCAGCUCGUGCCGUGAGGUGUCGGCUCAAGUGCCAUAACGAGCGCAACCCCUGCGUCCAGUUGCCAUCAGGUCAUGCUGGGGACUCUGGACGGACUGCCGCCGCAAGGUGCGAGGAAGGGGGGGAUGACGUCAAAUCAGCACGGCCCUUACGUCCGGGGCGACACACGUGUUACAAUGGGGGGUACAGAGGGGAGCCAGGCGGCGACGCCGAGCGGAUCCCGAAAGCCCCUCCCAGUUCGGAUCGGAGUCUGCAACCCGACUCCGUGAAGCUGGAUUCGCUAGUAAUCGCGCAUCAGCCAUGGCGCGGUGAAUACGUUCCCGGGCCUUGUACACACCGCCCGUCAAGCCAUGGGANNNNNNNNNNNNUGAAGUCCGUGACCGCGAGGAGCGGCCUAGGGCGAGACCGGUGACUUGGGGGUGAGUCGUAACAAGGUAACCA